Non-coding RNA from Cricetulus griseus (Chinese hamster), 4021 nucleotides. Lineage: Eukaryota; Metazoa; Chordata; Mammalia; Rodentia; Cricetidae. The record is from RefSeq and is a predicted model, not a curated record.
AGUUGCUGGCAGGCGAGAUUUAGCUGAAGGACCACCGGAAAUGGGAAAGUGGGGCUGCCUAUGGCACCUCCAGCCGCGAAUUUUGUAGGUUCCUUCUGCAGAUGCUGUUUAACCAACUGCCAGAUGAAGAAAUGACUUUAAUUUGAAUCUAGGAAUUGCCGUUCUUCUUUCCAGCUGUCAUUGCAGGCCACUUCACACGUGACAUAUAUUCACAGGGACACACAUAAAUAAAAGGAUAACUUUUAGAGGGCCACAAUGUUUAUCAGCUGGAGGAUUUUUGCAAUGAAUCAUCAGAGAAUAUUCAGUGUGCAUUUUAAAACUAUGUGUUACUGUAAAAUAAAAGCCAUUUUAAAAAGAUCGAAGACUCCGGUGCCUCUUAGAAGAAACUACAGCUCCCCACCAGGUGUAGUAGGAAAUGAUGUGAAAUCCCUUUAUUCCAUCAUUAGCCCUCCUGUGGCUAAAAUUCGUAAUAUUGGAAUUAUGGCUCAUAUUGAUGCAGGGAAAACUACUACCACAGAACGAAUUUUGUACUAUUCCGGAUACACAAGAUCAUUGGGAGAUGUUGAUGAUGGUGACACAGUGACAGAUUUCAUGGCUCAAGAGCGAGAAAGGGGCAUUACCAUCCAGUCAGCAGCUGUGACAUUUGACUGGAAAGGGUAUAGAGUCAAUUUGAUUGACACACCAGGUCACGUGGACUUUACCCUGGAGGUUGAGCGCUGCUUGAGAGUGUUGGACGGUGCAGUGGCUGUGUUUGAUGCCUCCGCUGGUGUCGAGGCCCAGACUCUCACCGUGUGGAAGCAAGCUGACAAACACAAGAUACCCCGGAUCUGUUUUUUAAACAAGAUGGACAAAACUGGAGCAAGUUUUAACUAUGCAGUUGAAAGCAUCAGGGAGAAGUUAAAGGUGAAACCUCUGCUUCUACAGCUGCCAAUCGGUGAAGCCAGAACUUUCAAAGGAGUGAUUGAUGUAGUAAACAAAGAAAAACUUGUUUGGAAUUCUAACUCUGAUGAUGGAAAAGACUUCGAGAGAAAACCCCUCUUAGAAACAAGUGAUCUGGAAUUGCUGAAGGAGGCUAUUGAAGCAAGGAACUCCUUAAUUGAACAAGUUGCAGAUUUGGAUGAUGAAUUUGCUGACUUGGUUUUAGAAGAAUUUAGUGAAAAUUUUGAUUUGGUACCAGCUGAAAAGUUACAGACUGCAAUACACAGAGUGACACUGGCUCAGGCCGCAGUGCCUGUGCUGUGUGGGAGUGCCUUGAAAAACAAGGGUGUUCAGCCCUUGCUGGAUGCCAUUACUAUGUACUUGCCAUCACCUGAAGAACGCGAGUACGGGUUUCUGCAGUGGUAUAAGGGUGACUUGUGUGCACUGGCAUUUAAAGUGCUGCAUGACAAGCAGCGGGGACCCCUGGUUUUCCUGCGCAUUUACUCGGGCACACUGACGCCCCAGUUGGCCAUCCAUAACAUUAAUAGAAACUGCACGGAGAGAAUGAGUCGUCUGCUUUUGCCAUUUGCUGACCAACAUGUAGAAAUCCCUUCCCUGACUGCUGGUAACAUCGCUUUGACAGUUGGACUUAAACAAACUGCCACUGGAGACACCAUUGUUUCUUCCAAGUCCAGUGCCUUAGCUGCAGCCCGUCGAGCAGGAAGAGGAGAAAAGAAACCUGGGAAAAACAGUGAAACAGAGAGUCUGCUGUUGGCUGGGGUAGAGAUUCCAGAGCCUGUUUUCUUCUGCACCAUAGAACCACCAUCAGUGGCUAAGCAGCCAGAUUUGGAUCAUGCCUUGGAACGCCUUCAGCGUGAAGAUCCCAGUUUGAAAGUGAGGCUUGAUCCUGACUCUGGACAAACAGUCCUGUGUGGUAUGGGGGAGUUACAUAUUGAGAUUAUUCAUGACCGAAUCAAGAGGGAGUAUGGCUUAGACACCUAUCUAGGGCCUCUGCAGGUGGCAUACCGGGAAACCAUCUUAAACUCAGUUCGUGCCACAGAUACCCUAGACCGGACUCUAGGAGACAAGCGGCAUUUUGUGAGAGCAGAACUGGAAGCCCGGCCAGUAGAAGCAUCAUCUGGCAUGGCCGUGAUUGAGUAUGCUGACUGUAUCAGUGUAGACCUACUGCAGGCCUCCCGUGAGGCCAUUGAAAAUGCAGUGCACAGUGCAUGCCUCCAGGGACCUUUACUUGGAUCCCCAGUUCAAGAUGUGGCAAUAACAUUACACUCAUUGAUGAUUCACCCUGGUACCUCCACAACUAUGGUUAAUGCCUGUGUCUCAAGAUGUAUCCAAAAGGCCCUGAAGAAAGCUGACAAGCAAGUCCUGGAGCCACUGAUGAGUCUUGAGGUCACAGUGACUGGAGAUUACCUCAGCCCUGUCCUGGCAGAUUUGGCACAAAGAAGAGGGAACGUUCAGGAAAUUCAGACUCGCCAGGACAACAAAGUUGUUAUAGGAUUUGUUCCUUUAGCAGAGAUGAUGGGAUAUUCAACUGUGCUUCGAACGCUGACAUCAGGCUCGGCUACUUUUGCUUUAGAAUUCUCUACUUAUCAAGCCAUGAGUCCUCAAGACCAAAGUACUCUACUCACCCAGAGAAGUGGUUUGGCUCAUGUGCUUUAGGACCUUGGGAACAUGGAUUAAUGCCUGGAAAAGCACGGGCUGCUUCAUUCUCAGAAAGAGUUCAGCAGUGAAGAAAUGGAGCCCUCCAGCCCUUCCUCCAUCCAACCUCACUGCUGAUGAACACCCAACUUUUAAAUAGGUGCUCAGACUGGUACAGCAAGCAGUCUCACCCACUGAGCCAUCACUACAGCCCUGAGUGGAGUUUUCACAGUUCUUACCUCUACUUUAUCAUCAAAAACCUCUUGCCAAACAAUGGAGCCUUUUUUCAAGGAUGUAAUAAUAUCCAAAAUGCUAAAAUUGGAAACAUUGACAGUUAUUUAGGAUCACAAAGUUAACGCUCUUCAACAUGCAUGUUUUCUACCAGGAACAGCUUGCAACGUUGACAAGUACUGUACCUCACGAUAACAUAGCAAUACAGAACCAGCUAAAGUUGGGUAGGAGGCAAGGUAGAGAGACAGGCCAAGGUUAAGGGGCUUGGGAAAUGGAAAGAAUUCUUUGGCCUUAAGACAACCUGAGAUAUGUCUUGCUGGCUAGAGACUGCCUCCAAAGAAACUACACAGAAAGUAUGCUACCUUAAAAUACCAAGAUUAUUAAGGCAAGAUUAUUAAGAUUAGUGCCAUACUCAGGAUAAAAACAUUUCUUACCCUUUUAUAGAAAACCUGACUUAAUUUUUAAAUAUUGAUCCAUAUUUUUGUCUUCCUCAUAUGUAAGCUUCCCCUUAUCUUAUAGAUCACCUCUUUAAACAAUGUAAUCCCAAAGUCCUCCAAUCACGUCCAUAGCCUCUACUGAACCACUUAGGUACUGCCCCCCUGACCGAAAUCUUCCUGGAUGCAUCUGCCCUUCUAAUUGAACUCAAGUAUUUCACUGUGACUUGUGAGAGUCAGCCACACAUGAAUGGAGAUCCCUCAGGAGUUGCCUCAGGGCAGACAACUUCGAACCUGAGCUUUGUUCCCCAUGCUUGUGACACAUUUCUACAGAACAGUGGUUCGCAAUCUUUGUAAUGCCACUUUAAUACUGUUCCUCGUGUUGUGACCUCCAACCAUAAAAUUAUUAUUGUUGCCACUUCAGAACUGUAAUAUUGCUGCUGUUAGGAACUGUAAUGUAAAUAUCUGAUGUUUCCAAUGGCCUUAAUCCACAGGUUGGAAGAAAGGAAACUGACACCUAGCCUGACAUGUCACGUCAAUAAUGUUCAGUUAUUAGCUGGCACACAUACUUAGUUAGGCAAUAACAAACACUUCAAAGGGUAAAUAAGAAAGAAAACAUCACACAAAAAGCUAAAUAGGAAGGAACAGAUGAACUCUGAGCCUCCCAAAUGGAUAGAGCAGAGCAGAACUUGGAAAACCACAGCAUGCAGCCUUUUUUCUAUGGCUGACAAGCUAAGAAUGGUUGUUGAAUUUGCAAAGCGUUCUCUCUCUCUAUGUGUGUC